CUUAUCAAGUACUACAACCUAAGUUCUUACAUUCAAAAGUUGCCAUUUUGUUGCACAGUGUAAUUAAUAUUUGAACAGUUUGUGUUUAAUCAAAUAAAUAAGCUGAGUAUUUCAUUCCUUUUUGGAGAUCCAAGUUGAAAUGCCAAGCAUCUGUCCCACAGUGCACAAGGAAAGUUUCUUACGGCAAAGAUUAACAGAGACGGAGCCCAGUACUGGGGCAAGGAGUGUGGUGGUCGGAGGGCGCUAAGGAGCCUGGUGCGUGUUGCUGCCAGGCGCAUGUUUGGCAAUGCGGUAAACCAAAUUAUGUGCUUAGGAACUUGCCGCUGCGACCAGAGUCGGUGAUGGGGCGAGAAACCACACAACCACCGAAGCCCCAGUCCCAGUCCCAGCCCCACCCAACCCACAACCACCAACCACCCGCUUUUUGCCGCUUUGUGUGCGUCUUGCAGCUGCAUUUACACAGCAAAAAGAGCUGCUCCACAACGCUCUCCCCUUUUGGCCCUUUGCCUUUGUGCCUUGUCUGCUUGCACUGCUGCUGGCCGGCGCUCUUUGCACAGGUGUUCCAUCCAAAAACUUUGUGAGCGCCGUGGCAAGAUGAUUAAAAAGUUUUCCUCUAAGAAGAAAAGGCAGAGCCUGCAUUCAGUUGAGGUCCAGAAACCUCAGUCGCCAAAUUGUCAAUGCCCGCCACCUUUGACAGCAGCUAAUGAUGGGAAGCGAUACAUUGAGGCUAAAACUAAAUUAACUAUGCCCGAACACUGGCCAACGAUUGGUCUACUGAACCUGUGGCUGGAUCUCAUAUAAAUAUACAUCAUUUCGUCCAUAAACCAUUGAAUUACAAUCGCAACUCACAGCUUAAACACUUCCACAGCUUUUGUGUUGAAAAUGUUCUACAAAAGUUUCAAAUAUUUGCAAGAUUUCUAACAGCUCAGGAGACACUUUCGCACGCUCCACGAGGAGCCA
Molecule: long non-coding RNA, 960 nt
Filed under: Drosophila guanche
Lineage: Eukaryota; Metazoa; Arthropoda; Insecta; Diptera; Drosophilidae
Source: RNAcentral